GGGGCUUUAGCUCAGUGGUAGAGCGCGCGCUUCGCAUGUGUGAGUCACCGGAUCGAUCCCGGUAAGCUCCA
RNAcentral lists this transfer RNA (71 nucleotides) under Volvox carteri f. nagariensis. RNAcentral's name for it is "tRNA-Ala (CGC) (tRNA-Ala-CGC-3-1)". It matches the Rfam family "tRNA". Rfam says of the family: Transfer RNA (tRNA) molecules are approximately 80 nucleotides in length. Their secondary structure includes four short double-helical elements and three loops (D, anti-codon, and T loops). The record is from Rfam by way of RNAcentral. Lineage: Eukaryota; Viridiplantae; Chlorophyta; Chlorophyceae; Chlamydomonadales; Volvocaceae.